RNAcentral lists this ribosomal RNA (252 nucleotides) under uncultured Candidatus Neoehrlichia sp. Its description in RNAcentral is "partial 16S ribosomal RNA". It matches the Rfam family "Bacterial small subunit ribosomal RNA", at positions 524 to 774 of the family's 1533-position model. The record is from RNAcentral. Lineage: Bacteria; Pseudomonadati; Pseudomonadota; Alphaproteobacteria; Rickettsiales; Anaplasmataceae.
UACGGAGGGGGCAAGCGUUGUUCGGAAUUAUUGGGCGUAAAGGGCAUGUAGGCGGUUUAAUAAGUUAAAAGUGAAAUACCAGGGCUUAACCUUGGAGCUGCUUUUAAUACUAUUUAAACUAGAGAUCGAGAGAGGAUAGUGGAAUUCCUAGUGUAGAGGUGAAAUUCGUAGAUAUUAGGAGGAACACCAGUGGCGAAGGCGACUAUCUGGCUCAGUUCUGACGCUGAGGUGCGAAAGCGUGGGGAGCAAACA